UUCAUUAUUAACAUAUUCCUUUCCGUUAUCUGUCUGCAAGAUUUUUAUUUUAUUUCCUGUAUAUCUUUCCAUUUCCUUUUUAUAUUCUAUAAACUUUCCUAAAACUUCAUUUUUAUUUUUCAGAAAAUAGACUCUGCCAUAUCUGCUGUAUUCAUCCGUAAAGGUGACGAAGUAUCUGUGAUCUCCGUUACUAUUUACGGGCAUUGGACCACACACAUCUGAGUGUAUUGUAUGUAGUUUUUGAGGAGCUUUUGUUUCUUCAGGCCUUUCCUUCGGAAAAGUAAUUCGUGCUACGGAUAUCAAAUUAGUUGAUAACUCUGGAAUAUAUAAGAUUUUUAUUUAAACGAGCUUCACUUUCUUCAAUAAUUUUUGUUUUGAGUUCUUCGAGGUACGGAAGUUUGUCACGGGACUCGAUUGCCACUCUGAAGUUCUCGUAGGAAUCUGGCAAACUGUAUAAUAACAUUAUGCUCAGGAGGUCUUCAUUGAUGCUGAUGUCCAUGUCUUUUAAUUUAUCCACCAAGUCGAUGAAUUCAUUUAUGUGAUCUCUGGCGGAUUCAUCAUGUUUCAUUUUUUUGUGUAGUAACUUUUUUAAUAAUGUUGCUUUUCGUGCAGGUCCACGACUUUCGUAGGCGUUUUUAAGGGUCUCCCAUACGUCUUUUGCUGUUUUGCAUGAUUUUACUAAUUUAAGUUGGGACGGC
Galleria mellonella (greater wax moth) is the source of this 698-nucleotide long non-coding RNA. RefSeq lists it as uncharacterized. The transcript has 3 exons. NCBI's taxonomy places the organism in Eukaryota, Metazoa, Arthropoda, Insecta, Lepidoptera, Pyralidae. The record is from RefSeq and is a predicted model, not a curated record.